This is a long non-coding RNA of Crotalus tigris (Tiger rattlesnake), 392 nucleotides long. RefSeq lists it as uncharacterized. NCBI's taxonomy places the organism in Eukaryota, Metazoa, Chordata, Lepidosauria, Squamata, Viperidae. The transcript is spliced from 3 exons. The record is from RefSeq and is a predicted model, not a curated record.
UCUAUACCAUUCCAGACAAAUGGCCAUCCAGUCUCUUCUUAAAAGCCUCCAGUGAUGGAGCACCCACAACUUCUAGAGGCAAGCCUUUCCACUAAUUGUUUUCACUGUUAGUAAAUUUUGCUCCUUAAAUCUACUAAAAUUUUCAAAUUCAGUGAAAGUAAAUAGAAUUGAAGGCAAACUAAUAUAUAAUGGGAAUCCAUUCUCUCUAAGGAAAAAAAAUGCUCCUGAGCUUCAGCUUCUCCCAUCGUGACUGAGUACCUGAGCUCAUUCCAAUGGACAGAUAUGGCCCUGUAGAAAACUGGGCAUUAAUCCAUAAAGGAAGCUAACAGAUUGUGACAGCAGGGAGAAUAUUUUUUGCACAAUACUGGAAGAAUGAAGGACUGCCAUCGGAG